CGGGUGAGUAACGCGUGGAUAACCUGCCUCACACUGGGGGAUAACAGUUAGAAAUGACUGCUAAUACCGCAUAAGCGCACAGUACCGCAUGGUACAGUGUGAAAACCUCCGGUGGUGUGAGAUGGAUCCGCGUCUGAUUAGCCAGUUGGCGGGGUAACGGCCCACCAAAGCGACGAUCAGUAGCCGACCUGAGAGGGUGACCGGCCACAUUGGGACUGAGACACGGCCCAA
This 231-nucleotide ribosomal RNA is filed under the name uncultured bacterium. RNAcentral's name for it is "partial 16S ribosomal RNA". It matches the Rfam family "Bacterial small subunit ribosomal RNA", at positions 103 to 334 of the family's 1533-position model. The record is from RNAcentral.